AGAGUUUGAUCCUGGCUCAGAACGAACGCUGGCGGCGUGGCUAAGGCAUGCAAGUCGAACGGGCUUAUGCAUUGGGUAACCGAAGCAUAAGCUAGUGGCGAACGGGUGAGUAAUGACUGGGUAAUGUGCCCCGUGCUCAGGAAUAGCCCACCGAAAGGUGGUGUAAUACCUGAUGAUGUCGGCGGAUCGCAUGAUUCGCCGAUCAAAGCUCCGGCGGCAUGGGAGCAGCCCAUUUCCUAUCAGCUUGUUGGUGAGGUAACGGCCCACCAAGGCGACGACGGGUACCGGGCGUGAGAGCGUGACCCGGCACAUCGGAACUGAGACACUGUCCGGACACCUACGGGUGGCUGCAGCAACGAAUAUUCCGCAAUGGGCGCAAGCCUGACGGAGCGACGCCGCGUGCAGGACGAAGUCCUUCGGGAUGUAAACUGCUGUCAGGGAUAAGGAAGAUCUGACCUAUCCCAGAGGAAGCAUCGACUAACUCUGUGCCAGCAGUCGCGGUAAUACAGAGGAUGCGAGCGUUGUUCGGAAUCACUGGGCUUAAAGCGCGUGUAGGCGGAUCGGUCAGUGUUCUGUGAAAGCCCCCGACUCAACCGGGGAACUGCAGGGCAUACUGCCGGUCUUGAGGCAGGUAGGGGUGCGCGGAACUCUAGGUGGAGCGGUGAAAUGCGUAGAUAUCUAGAGGAACGCCGGUGGCGAAAGCGACGCACUGGGCCUGUACUGACGCUGAGACGCGAAAGCGUAGGUAGCGAACGGGAUUAGAUACCCCGGUAGUCUACGCCGUAAACGAUGCGCACUAGGUUCGAGGAGUUCUGACGCUCUUCGGGCCGCAAGAAAACUACUAAGUGCGCCGCCUGGGGAGUACGGCCGCAAGGCUAAAACUCAAAGGAAUUGACGGGGGCUCACACAAGCGGUGGAGCAUGUGGAUUAAUUCGAAGCAACGCGAAGAACCUUACCUGGGUUUGACAUGCACGGAUGCCCUCUUGGAAACAGGAGUAAGCUGCCUUCGGGUGAAACUUGCACAGGUGCUGCAUGGCUGUCGUCAGCUCGUGCUGUGAAGUGUUGGGUUAAGUCCCCUAACGAGCGAAACCCUUGUCGCUAGUUACCAGCGGGUCAUGCCGGGGACUCUAGCGAGACUGCCGGUGUCAAACCGGAGGAAGGUGGGGAUGACGUCAAGUCCUCAUGGCCUUUAUGCCCAGGGUGUCACACGUGCUACAAUGGGGCGUACAGAGCGACGCAAGACCGCGAGGUGGAGCAAAUCGCAGAAAACGUCCCUCAGUUCGGAUUGGAGUCUGCAAUUCGACUCCAUGAAGUCGGAAUCGCUAGUAAUCGCGUAUCAGCCAUGACGCGGUGAAUAUGUUCCUGAGCCUUGUACACACCGCCCGUCAAGUCAUGGAAGCUGGGAGCACCCGAAGUCCGCUUAGCUGACCGCAAGGGGGCGGCGGCCGACGGUGAGCUCGGUGACUGGGGCUAAGUCG
This 1478-nucleotide ribosomal RNA is filed under the name metagenome. Its description in RNAcentral is "bacterial SSU rRNA". It matches the Rfam family "Bacterial small subunit ribosomal RNA". The record is from RNAcentral.